AUCCCGCGGGGUCCGGCCCCAGGGGUGGGGUCCGUCCCAGGGACCGGGAUCGGCUCCACGCUGGGAGGCGAACGGGGCUGUCUCCGUGUUCUGCCCCUGGGUUGUCGUGUAGGGGAAAGCUGCCUCCUGCUCGGGUUGACAGACGCGGCAACAUCAAACACCGGUGACCAAACUGGUGAACAGAAUAAACCGCAGAGAAACCUCCCUCCACCUCAGCGCCUGUCACUGGACCUCCCUUAACAGAGCGACUGAGGCUGCAAUACAUACGCGGGCUUUUAGAUUCGCCUUGUUUUUUCAACCACCUGAGCUCCAGCCCACACGUCGGCCCGGCAGCGCUGUGACACCGAUUCACUGGAGGGCACAUUCCCUAACCUGGGGGGGGGGGGCAUGGUGAGGGGACCACGGCACUUCCCAGGAGGUUUCAAACCCCAGACUCCUCCACAGUGUCCUUUCAUGUGAACCACUCUUUCUGUAGAUGCAAGCGAGCUAAUUAAUGAUUUACAGUGUUUUGAAGAAAACCAUCAGCAUCCAGACUACAAAUGACAACAGGGGAACAAAGAGCUCACAUUCUAUUGAGGAUCCUUCAGGAAGCUGUAAGUCUGAGUGCUGACACAGUUAAUGUGUUGUUAUGAGUACCUCUUCUGAAAGUGAAAGGCAGAGCUUUCAUAACAGUAUGAAGUUUCCUAAUUCUUUUGCCUGAGCUCCAGAGUUACAUAUGCUAAAAAAAUCUUGUCAAUUGCAAGGUACACGUUCUAUACAAAUGAAUAAAAAUACAGUCCUAAUUCACAUUUAUAAAAUAUCUGCUUUUGUUCCUUAAACAGUAACAGUACAACGUAUUUUGUUCAGAAUGAUUUUAUUUGGAUUAUAGCAAUUAGUAUCACUGAUCAGUAGGCCAAGUCCAGGCAGAGAGCACAGAAUCAAUUUCACAAGGCAACAACACAGACUAGUAUUUUAGCAUACCAACCAUUUCACUGCAUUAUCAAGUUGAAAUAUCUUUCAACCAUGCAUAAAAAGUCUAUGCUUCAUCUUUCAGAGCUCCAGGUAAUAUCAGAUUCCUAAAUAUACAAAAAAUACAUUUAACUUAUAAUAAUCUUAGUGAAUCAGACUUAUAAAAUUACAAUUUUAUUCUUCACAACAUAGAAAAAAAUACAAAAAUGACUGUAUAUAGUUUUCACCCAAAUUUCACUGACAUAUACAUCAAAAUGCAUGAUUUGAUGUAUACUCAUGAAAAUUUUAAGCUGAAAAAGGUUUUCAAAUGACACUGCAGAUUGGUCCACACAAAUGUCAACCUUCAUUAUGGUAACAAAAAACCCCACCUUUAAUAGAAACAUCACAUUGUGAAAAAUUACAAUUUAUCUGCACUGUAACCUGCAUCUUACUGUAAUUUACAAUAUGAACAUUUCUACAAUUCCAGUUGUAAACUAUACACUGGUAAGAGCCUUGGUCUUUUAGAGGGUAGUGACUAACUCAGACAAAGCCAGCAUGGUAGAACAUAAAGUGCUGUCAACUGAACCAGUGCACACAACAGAGACACCAAAGCAGAGAACGCCUGCUGGGUUGGAUAUGCUGAUAGAGAACAUGCAAGCUAAGUAAACAGUCUGUGGGGAAAAUAAAACCCUCUACAUUUGUGACAAACAGUACCAAUCAAAGCUUCUGUUAUAGAGUUCAUACAAAUCACAUUACCACUUCAGUGACAGAUGAGGGGAAAUUUCUUAUUUUAUGAGGAAAAACCCCACAUGUGUGACCAAAGUCAAUAGGAACAACCCAAAGAGGAUUAGGGCAUCACACUACAGUUCUCACUCAAGAUCACCUUCCAGUGAUUUCCAGGGAAGAUAAACUUGAAAAAGCAACUGCAAGAUGAAGUGCUGAAUUUUUGUACAUACUAACUGCAUGUUUAUACUUUAGAAUAUAAUUUAUAAAUCAACUUUGCUGAUAAAAUUUCUUACUAGCAAAGCAAUUUCUUUUAAAAGUCUGCAGUUUAUUUGCAUUUGUGUGGUAAAUUAAUAUUUUCAAUUAAAGUAAAUAUUUCGUGAUAAAGCUUAUUCAGUAAAGGUGUUGGUUGUACAAAUUUCCUCCCUACUGGCAGCACGCUCUACUUUUCCAUGGUGCCAGUGCUAUCUGAUUGUACUGUCCACAGAUCUGGACUAUAUCUUUCUCAUCAGCAGAGCCAGCAGUUUGUUUCAUAUUGGAGUAUUACACAGCCAUUUUUUUUCCUCCAAAUUGGACCAACAAAUUUGAAACCAAAUCUUUUAUUUGGGCCCAGAAAUCAAAUUAAGAAAGUUCAGGAGCUGAGCAUCGACAAUAUCCAAUAACCCAAGUACAUCAGGAAAUCAGAUCUUUUAGAUGGCAUCCUUCAGAAAUACUGACAUCACUUUCUUUAACAGCAAGUAUAAGCAAAAGAUGUUUUGUUCGGAGGUGGAAAUUUACACUUUCAAACAGUUCAGUAUAGCGUAACAUUUCUCAGAUGACUACAACAAAGCACAUAACCUAAUGCAGAAAUGAACUGAACUGUUGCAUCUUCGAAUCCAAAACCAGUCUGAGGCUGUAUAUGGCCACAGUAACAGAAUCACAGAAUUGUUUAGGUUGGAAAAGACCUCCAAGGUCAUCAAGUCCAACCUAACACUGCAAAGUCCCACUAAACCAUGUCCUUAAGCACCACAUCUACACUUCUUUUAAAUACCUCCAGGGAUGGUGACUCCACCACUUCCCUGGACAGCUUGUUCCAGUGCUUGACAACCCUUCUGCUGAAGAAAUUUUUCCUAAUAUCCAAUCUAAACCUUCCCUGGUGCAACAUGAGGCACUUUUCUCUUGUCCUAUCAUUUGUAACUUGGGAGAAAAGACCAACACCCACCUUGGUACAGCCUCUUGUAUUUUUGAAUAGUCAAUAAUAGGCUCCAAAGUGUUUAAAAUAGAAGCAAAGAUUAUUAUUGUUUCUUACCCUCUCUCUGCUUAUUAUAGCCCUGUUUGUGCCUAAACAGGAAAUGUGCUAUAUACUGAGAAUUAGGAAAAUUCAGACCUUUUGAUGGAAUCAAAGAAAAUUAAUGAAAAAUGCAAAGUUUU
Molecule: long non-coding RNA, 3060 nt
Organism: Pseudopipra pipra
Lineage: Eukaryota; Metazoa; Chordata; Aves; Passeriformes; Pipridae
Exons: 2
Source: RefSeq, a predicted model, not a curated record